CAAACUAACAAACAGCUAAUUGAGGGCUCUCCUCCCCCAAACAGCUCGGUGCCUCAGGGCCCCUCGUCUCCUCUUGCGUUCGCCCAGCACCCGGCACAGCGGGACGUGCCGCCUGCUCGCGUUUGUUGGGAAGUUUGCUCCAACCCGCUAUUGCAAACACAUGCACAGCCUGCUGCAACUGGUAGUCUGAGACCAGCCUGCAACACAACGGGGAAGGGCAGAUGGGGAGGAAAAGGCAGGGAGAGCAAUGCCCCCGCAGGAAGGAGCCACUUUCCACUUACUCCUGAUUUGUUUUUUCUUCUUCUCUUUUUUUCCUUUAAUUCCUGGAACAACUCGGGAGCUGGUUGCCUCCUCGUUCACGACUCCAGCGAGCAUCAGUGCGACCAGAGCGGGGAGCAGCGGUUCGGCCACCGUCGUUUCAGACAUGGCAGUCCUAAGAGCAGACGUCCCAGUUCCUUCUCCCCAGUCAGGCCUUUUUGUCACCUCCAGCUCUUCUCACUGCAGCUGAUACUGACCCCGUGCAAGGACCCCGAAGCCCUGCCGGAUCAGCAGAGAGUCUCCAGUGAGCAAGGGCAGAGCUCGCACGAUGUCGCGGACAGGGCAGGCUGCUACCUGCAGCAUUUCGUUUUCUUGGCGAAGGUGCCGUGGUGCAAUUUCCCAGGGGCCACCCAAACGCGGGCUCUCUCCAGCGUUGCAGGCUUGCUGGGCUUGCUGUGGGAUAACUUCAGCCCACGCUCUGAAGGCGGAGGUUGCGUGCCCUGCUGCCCUCCGGCAGCAGCAGGGUACGGAGCUAUCCUUGUGCUUGGCCCCCGGCCGGCAGAGCUGAAAGGGGCUUUAUGUCUUGCAGCUGUGAGCACUGGGCUGCAGCUGCCCUUUGCUCACGAGGCUGUAGUACUCUGGCUUUUCCCCUCCAGCUUAAACAGCGUAAACCCAUCCGGGGAACCUCCCGAGGAGAAACUGGGGCCACCAGCACAAGCAGUAGCCAAGCUAAACGGGGCCAUGCUGGGUCACGGAGCUGGUGAACAGCCGCG
This 1031-nucleotide long non-coding RNA is filed under the name Struthio camelus australis. RNAcentral's name for it is "lncRNA (ENSSCUG00000005564.1)". The record is from RNAcentral. Lineage: Eukaryota; Metazoa; Chordata; Aves; Struthioniformes; Struthionidae.